UGAGGAAUAUUGGUCAAUGGGCGAGAGCCUGAACCAGCCAAGUAGCGUGAAGGAUGACUGCCCUAUGGGUUGUAAACUUCUUUUAUAAAGGAAUAAAGUCGGGUAUGGAUACCCGUUUGCAUGUACUUUAUGAAUAAGGAUCGGCUAACUCCGUGCCAGCAGCCGCGGUAAUACGGAGGAUCCGAGCGUUAUCCGGAUUUAUUGGGUUUAAAGGGAGCGUAGAUGGAUAUUUAAGUCAGUUGUGAAAGUUUGCGGCUCAACCGUAAAAUUGCAGUUGAUACUGGAUAUCUUGAGUGCAGUUGAGGCAGGCGGAAUUCGUGGUGUAGCGGUGAAAUGCUUAGAUAUCACGAAGAACUCCGAUUGCGAAGGCAGCCUGCUAAGCUGCAACUGACAUUGAGGCUCGAAAGUGUGGGUAUCAAACAGGGUUAGAUACCCUGGUAGUCCACACGGUAAACGAUGAAUACUCGCUGUUUGCGAUAUACUGCAAGCGGCCAAGCGAAAGCGUUAAGUAUUCCACCUGGGGAGUACGCCGGCAACGGUGAAACUCAAAGGAAUUGACGGGGGCCCGCACAAGCGGAGGAACAUGUGGUUUAAUUCGAUGAUACGCGAGGAACCUUACCCGGGCUUAAAUUGCAGAUGAAUUACGGUGAAAGCCGUAAGCCGCAAGGCAUCUGUGAAGGUGCUGCAUGGUUGUCGUCAGCUCGUGCCGUGAGGUGUCGGCUUAAGUGCCAUAACGAGCGCAACCCUUGUUGUCAGUUACUAACAGGUUUUGCUGAGGACUCUGACAAGACUGCCAUCGUAAGAUGUGAGGAAGGUGGGGAUGACGUCAAAUCAGCACGGCCCUUACGUCCGGGGCUACACACGUGUUACAAUGGGAGGUACAGAGGGCCGCUACCACGCGAGUGGAUGCCAAUCCCCAAAACCUCUCUCAGUUCGGACUGGAGUCUGCAACCCGACUCCACGAAGCUGGAUUCGCUAGUAAUCGCGCAUCAGCCACGGCGCGGUGAAUACGUUCCC
Molecule: ribosomal RNA, 1017 nt
Filed under: uncultured bacterium
Lineage: Bacteria
Description: bacterial SSU rRNA
Rfam family: Bacterial small subunit ribosomal RNA
Source: RNAcentral